UUGGUGCUUGCACCAAAUGAAACUAGAUACAAGCGAGCGGCGGACGGGUGAGUAACACGUGGGUAACCUGCCCAAGAGACUGGGAUAACACCUGGAAACAGAUGCUAAUACCGGAUAACAACACUAGACGCAUGUCUAGAGUUUAAAAGAUGGUUCUGCUAUCACUCUUGGAUGGACCUGCGGUGCAUUAGCUAGUUGGUAAGGUAACGGCUUACCAAGGCAAUGAUGCAUAGCCGAGUUGAGAGACUGAUCAGCCACAUUGGGACUGAGACACGGCCCAAACUCCUACGGGAGGCAGCAGUAGGGAAUCUUCCACAAUGGACGCAAGUCUGAUGGAGCAACGCCGCGUGAGUGAAGAAGGGUUUCGGCUCGUAAAGCUCUGUUGGUAGUGAAGAAAGAUAGAGGUAGUAACUGGCCUUUAUUUGACGGUAAUUACUUAGAAAGUCACGGCUAACUACGUGCCAGCAGCCGCGGUAAUACGUAGGUGGCAAGCGUUGUCCGGAUUUAUUGGGCGUAAAGCGAGUGCAGGCGGUUCAAUAAGUCUGAUGUGAAAGCCUUCGGCUCAACCGGAGAAUUGCAUCAGAAACUGUUGAACUUGAGUGCAGAAGAGGAGAGUGGAACUCCAUGUGUAGCGGUGGAAUGCGUAGAUAUAUGGAAGAACACCAGUGGCGAA
This 673-nucleotide ribosomal RNA is filed under the name uncultured Bacilli bacterium. Its description in RNAcentral is "bacterial SSU rRNA". It matches the Rfam family "Bacterial small subunit ribosomal RNA", at positions 73 to 719 of the family's 1533-position model. The record is from RNAcentral. Lineage: Bacteria; Bacillati; Bacillota; Bacilli.